AAUAGAUACCCAGGUAGUCCCAGCCGUAAACGAUGCUCGCUAGGUGUCAGGCAUGGCGCGACCGUGUCUGGUGCCGCAGGGAAGCCGUGAAGCGAGCCACCUGGGGAAGUACGGCCGCAAGGCUGAAACUUAAAGGAAUUGGCGGGGGGAGCACAACAACGGGUGGAGCCUGCGGUUUAAUUGGACUCAACGCCGGACAACUCACCGGGGACGACAGCAAUAUGUAGGUCAGGCUGAAGACCUUACCUGAAUCGCUGAGAGGAGGUGCAUGGCCGUCGCCAGUUCGUACUGUGAAGCAUCCUGUUAAGUCAGGCAACGAGCGAGACCCGUGCCCACUGUUACCAGCAUAUCCUCCGGGAUGAUGGGUACUCUGUGGGGACCGCCGGUGUUAAAUCGGAGGAAGGUGCGGGCCACGGUAGGUCAGUAUGCCCCGAAUUUCCCGGGCUACACGCGGGCUACAAUGAAUGGGACAAUGGGUCCCUCCCCUGAAAAGGGCUGGUAAUCUCACAAACCCAUCCUUAGUUCGGAUCGAGGGCUGUAACUCG
RNAcentral lists this ribosomal RNA (545 nucleotides) under uncultured bacterium. RNAcentral's name for it is "bacterial SSU rRNA". It matches the Rfam family "Archaeal small subunit ribosomal RNA", at positions 728 to 1270 of the family's 1478-position model. The record is from RNAcentral.